ACAAGCGGUGGAUGAUGUGGUUAAUUCGAUGCAACGCGAAAACCUUACCACCUUGACAUGUACGGAAUCCUUUAGAGAUAGAGGAGUGCUCGAAAGAGAGCCGUAACACAGGUGCUGCAUGGCUGUCGUCAGCUCGUGUCGUGAGAUGUUGGGUUAAGUCCCGCAACGAGCGCAACCCUUGUCAUUAGUUGCUACAUUCAGUUGGGGCACUCUAAUGAGACUGCCGGUGACAAACCGGAGGAAGGUGGGGAUGACGUCAAGUCCUCAUGGCCCUUAUAGGUGGGGCUACACACGUCAUACAAUGGAUGGUACAAAGGGUCGCCAACCCGCGAGGGGGAGCCAAUCCCAUAAAGCCAUUCGUAGUCCGGAUCGCAGUCUGCAACUCGACUGCGUGAAGUCGGAAUCGCUAGUAAUCGUGGAUCAGAAUGUCACGGUGAAUACGUUCCCGGGUCUU
Molecule: ribosomal RNA, 454 nt
Filed under: uncultured Acidovorax sp.
Lineage: Bacteria; Pseudomonadati; Pseudomonadota; Betaproteobacteria; Burkholderiales; Comamonadaceae
Description: bacterial SSU rRNA
Rfam family: Bacterial small subunit ribosomal RNA
Source: RNAcentral